GAUGAACGCUGGCGGCGUGCUUAACACAUGCAAGUCGAACGAUGAAGCCCAGCUUGCUGGGUGGAUUAGUGGCGAACGGGUGAGUAACACGUGAGUAACCUGCCCUUAACUCUGGGAUAAGCCUGGGAAACUGGGUCUAAUACCGGAUAGGAGCGUCCACCGCAUGGUGGGUGUUGGAAAGAUUUAUCGGUUUUGGAUGGACUCGCGGCCUAUCAGCUUGUUGGUGAGGUAAUGGCUCACCAAGGCGACGACGGGUAGCCGGCCUGAGAGGGUGACCUGCCACACUGGGACUGAGACACGGCCCAGACUCCUACGGGAGGCAGCAGUGGGGAAUAUUGCACAAUGGGCGCAAGCCUGAUGCAGCGACGCCGCGUGAGGGAUGACGGCCUUCGGGUUGUAAACCUCUUUCAGUAGGGAAGAAGCGAAAGUGACGGUACCUGCAGAAGAAGCACCGGCUAACUACGUG
RNAcentral lists this ribosomal RNA (466 nucleotides) under uncultured bacterium. RNAcentral's name for it is "partial 16S ribosomal RNA". It matches the Rfam family "Bacterial small subunit ribosomal RNA", at positions 28 to 507 of the family's 1533-position model. The record is from RNAcentral.